RNAcentral lists this long non-coding RNA (657 nucleotides) under Homo sapiens (human). RNAcentral describes it as "HSALNT0381412". The record is from RNAcentral. Lineage: Eukaryota; Metazoa; Chordata; Mammalia; Primates; Hominidae.
GCAAAAUUGAUAUACCAUGGAAGAAAUUUGAUUAGUAGCUCCAUUUGUUGGGGGAAUUAUGACUGGGAGGGAUGUAAGAAGGGUUUCUGGGGUUCUGGUACAGUUCUGUUUCUUUAUCUGGGUGGAGACUUUCGUGCGCGUCCAUGUGAAAAGACCACCAAACAGGCUUUGUGUGAGCAACAUGGCUGUUUAUUUCACCUGGAUGCAGGCAGGCUGAGUGCAAAAAGAGAGUCAGCGAAGGGAGAUAGGGGUGGGGCCAUUUUAUAGGAUUUGGGAAGGUAAUGGAAAAUUACAGUCAAAGGGGGUUGUUCUCUGGUGGGCAGGGGUGGGGGACACAAAGGUGCUCAGUGGGGGAGCUUCUGAGCCAGGAGAAGGAAAUUCACAGGGUUAAUCCCUCAGUUAAGGUGGGGCAGGAACAAAUCACAAUGGUGGAAUGUCAUCAGUUAAGGCAGGGCAGGGCCUUUUCACUUCUUUUGUGGAUCUUCAGUUACUUCAGGCCAUCUGGAUGUAUACAUGCAAGUCACAGGGGAUGCGAUGGCUUGGCUUGGGUUCAGAGGCCUGACAGAGACCAUGUGGUUUUUUUCACUUUGGGAAAAUUUAUCACACUAUACACUUAUGAUCUGAAUACGUUGCUGUAUGGUUGUGUUUACUUAAAAC